This 497-nucleotide ribosomal RNA is filed under the name uncultured bacterium. RNAcentral describes it as "partial 16S ribosomal RNA". It matches the Rfam family "Bacterial small subunit ribosomal RNA", at positions 28 to 507 of the family's 1533-position model. The record is from RNAcentral.
GAUGAACGCUGGCGGCGUGCCUAAUACAUGCAAGUCGAGCGAACGGACGAGAAGCUUGCUUCUCUGAUGUUAGCGGCGGACGGGUGAGUAACACGUGGAUAACCUACCUAUAAGACUGGGAUAACUUCGGGAAACCGGAGCUAAUACCGGAUAAUAUUUUGAACCGCAUGGUUCAAAAGUGAAAGACGGUCUUGCUGUCACUUAUAGAUGGAUCCGCGCUGCAUUAGCUAGUUGGUAAGGUAACGGCUUACCAAGGCAACGAUGCAUAGCCGACCUGAGAGGGUGAUAGGCCACACUGGAACUGAGACACGGUCCAGACUCCUACGGGAGGCAGCAGUAGGGAAUCUUCCGCCAUGGGCGCAAGCCUGACGGAGCAACGCCGCGUGAGUGAUGAAGGUCUUCGGAUCGUAAAACUCUGUUAUUAGGGAAGAACAUAUGUGUAAGUAACUGUGCACAUCUUGACGGUACCUAAUCAGAAAGCCACGGCUAACUACGUG